RNAcentral lists this ribosomal RNA (1713 nucleotides) under Triticum aestivum (bread wheat). RNAcentral's name for it is "partial small subunit ribosomal RNA". Lineage: Eukaryota; Viridiplantae; Streptophyta; Magnoliopsida; Poales; Poaceae. The record is from RNAcentral.
AUGGGGCCACCAGGAGGUUUCGUUGAGGGGGCGUCUGGCCUGGGCUUCAGACAGCGGGGUGGAUUUCGCGGUCAUCAUGGUGGCCGUGUGGGUCGAGGUGGCCGGUACCAUCCUCGACUGCCACCGCCGCCUGUGGUUGACCAGAUGGCGGUCGACGAGACUGUUGAGGAGCAGGUUCUGUCAGGACAAGCUAUGGAGGUGGUAUCCGCGCUUGCCUCGGCUGAGAUUCUAGGAUCGGAGCCCAGGUCGACUGGGAUAGUAGAGGUAACUGGCAUGUCUGACUCUAAGCGGGCGGCCAAGUGGGCGCGUAAGAAACAAAAUAUGUUGUGUUAUAGAUGUGGUGGAAAGGGCCACUUUAUUGCUGAGUGUGUUGCUGAGCUUUGUGGAACUUGUGGAAAAUCAGCACACGACUCGGGGGAUUGUCCGUUUUUGAGAGAUCAGGCACCAGCACUCAUGAUGUAUGGAGUGUAUUGUGCUGAGCUUACUUUUUUUGAAUCUCCAACGGAGAUGGAGGUUCCUGACGAGACUUUGAGUUUAAUGACUGGGUUAGUCAAAGUUGCCAGAGGAGAUGUCUCGGAGGCGCAAAUUGUUCAGAGGCUCAAGGAGUUAGCUCCUGGGGAUUUCCAGUGGGAGCUUGUUAGCAUCGAGGACAAACUGUUUCGGGUUGAGUUUCCGUCAGUUGAGGAUCUUCAGAGACUUCUGAGCUUCGGAAUGUGCAAGGUGCCGGGUACUGAUGGUGUGCUUGAGUUUCACGAGUGGAAGAGGAUUGAGCCUACGGGCAAGCCGCUGACUCAGGUUUGGUUGCGGUACUCUGGGGCCCCCUCCAAGCCGAUGCAGGAUGCUCGGGUCGUGGCCAGUUUGGGUAUCAUGGUGGGCAGACCAGAGCGAGUGGAUAUGGACUUCACCAGAGCCCACGGCAUUGCCCGUAUACUGGUUAGUGUUCUGAACAUCGAGUAUGUGCCUGAGGUGGUAAAGUGGGCAUAUCGAGGCCACAUCUAUAACCUUGUCAUUGAGUUCGAGGAUGAGAGUCUGUUCGCUGAGGUGGCCAGCGGGACGGAUACUGAUAUGCACGAGGGUGAUGAUGGCUCGGCUCUAAAGGAGGCACCAGCAGCUGAUAGUGGACGAGAGUUGUCCACUGUGCCGGGUGCUGACUCUCAAACGUCUGCGAAUGGUACGACACCACCUUCUAUCGUGCCUACGACUUCUCUCAGAUUUGGGUCUUUCGAGCCGGCAUCUGCGCCUCCGAGACUUUGGAGUGAUCAUGUGGAGUCUGAUGAGGUGUUUGAGCAUACGCUGCCGGUGCUGGAGUCUGAGGAGUCUGUGGUUCCUUUUCUGGGUGCGUCGCCGAUUUCGGUCAGGGAUGAGGCGGAGGAGACUGCUCUCGCUGGCGGGGGUCCGGAGAUGGUGAUUUCGGAUUCCUCCGCUGCGGUCGUGGUCUCUCAGGUUCAGCAGGCGGUGCCUUCGGAUGAUGGGGGCAUGGGGCAGGAGGCCUCCGCGCUCUCAUCGGGGCUUCCAGAGGACGGGUUCCUCACGGUGUUGCUUGACUCUUCGGGAGGGGGCCGAGGCUGCCGGCCACGGCUCCUUCCUCCCCUUUUGCCGGGCCGGUUUCGCUGGCGCCGGCGUUGCUUUUCGAAAAGGGCUUGGGGCAGGUGGCCGCGGGGCUCUCUCCUAUGGGGGCGCCUAGGGAGGCCUGCUGGCCUUCAGCGCCGGUGA